CUUCUGGCAUCUUGGUACUCGUCCGCCAAUUUUUCAGCAUCGGGUAAGGUAUGGGGUUUCCGGUCCCUCAGCCAAUUCUGUAAGUCCGUGGUCAGCCCUGAACGAACUGCUCCAAUAAAAGCAGUUGCAACAUGUCCUCCACGGUAGUGGCUUGCGCCGCUUGUAUCCAUCCCUUGGCAGCCCUGGUUAACCGGUGUGCCCACUCCGUGUGUGAGUCC
Molecule: non-coding RNA, 218 nt
Organism: Pelobates cultripes (western spadefoot toad)
Lineage: Eukaryota; Metazoa; Chordata; Amphibia; Anura; Pelobatidae
Source: the annotation of a GenBank genome assembly